This is a long non-coding RNA of Solanum stenotomum, 361 nucleotides long. RefSeq lists it as uncharacterized. The transcript has 2 exons. The record is from RefSeq and is a predicted model, not a curated record. Lineage: Eukaryota; Viridiplantae; Streptophyta; Magnoliopsida; Solanales; Solanaceae.
UAUAUAGUAAUAAUAUAGUUUUUGAGUGAGAUAUUUUUAUUUUUUAAACAAUUUUAUAGGCCUCUAUAUAUAUUUGAUCUUCCAUCAAACAAGAAAAUGAACUCAACACAAUUUUAACUUUGUUAAUUAUAAUUAGCAUGGCUAAGAUGUACUUAUCUCACACGCUCUCUUUCUUCUUUUGUAUUCUCCUUGUUUCACUUGUUGUUAAUUCAUCAUUUUGGUCCUGAAACUCUCAUCAAGUGAUGGCUUUGAGAAACAUGCAUUUUGAAGAAGAAAUACAAGUGAUUGAGCAAAUUAUAAAGCCUUAUGUAUCUUCAUGUGGCAAAUCUUGUACAUCUCAUGAAUAUUGCCAAAUUUUUAA